GCGGGAGUAAUUCAGCAGCAGAAUGUCUGCUUUCCAAGCAGAACGUCACGGGUGCAAGUCCCGUCUCCCGCUCCA
Molecule: transfer RNA, 75 nt
Filed under: Candidatus Nealsoniibacteriota bacterium
Lineage: Bacteria; Candidatus Nealsoniibacteriota
Description: Candidatus Nealsonbacteria bacterium tRNA-Gly
Rfam family: tRNA
About the family: Transfer RNA (tRNA) molecules are approximately 80 nucleotides in length. Their secondary structure includes four short double-helical elements and three loops (D, anti-codon, and T loops). Further hydrogen bonds mediate the characteristic L-shaped molecular structure. tRNAs have two regions of fundamental functional importance: the anti-codon, which is responsible for specific mRNA codon recognition, and the 3' end, to which the tRNAs corresponding amino acid is attached (by aminoacyl-tRNA synthetases). tRNAs cope with the degeneracy of the genetic code in two manners: having more than one tRNA (with a specific anti-codon) for a particular amino acid; and 'wobble' base-pairing, i.e. permitting non-standard base-pairing at the 3rd anti-codon position.
Source: RNAcentral